UGGGUAUCUGCCCUUUGGCCUGGAAUAACACGAGGAAACUUGUGCUAAUACUGGAUAAGUCUUAACGGAGAAAGCUUUAUGCACCAAUGGAUGAGCCCGCACUUGAUUAGUUUGUUGGUAGGGUAAUGGCCUACCAAGACUGUGAUCAAUAGCUGAUUUGAGAGGAUGAUCAGCCACAUUGGGACUGAGACACGGCCCAAACUCCUACGGGAGGCAGCAGUGGGGAAUCUUGCACAAUGGAGGAAACUCUGAUGCAGCGAUGCCGCGUGAGUGAAGAAGGCCUUUGGGUUGUAAAGCUCUUUCGUCGGGGAAGAAAAUGACUGUACCCGAAUAAGAAGGUCCGGCUAACUUCGUGCCAGCAGCCGCGGUAAUACGAAGGGACCUAGCGUAGUUCGGAAUUACUGGGCUUAAAGAGUUCGUAGGUGGUUGAAAAAGUUGGUGGUGAAAUCCCAGAGCUUAACUCUGGAACUGCCAUCAAAACUUUUCAGCUAGAGUUUGAUAGAGGAAAGCAGAAUUUCUAGUGUAGAGGUGAAAUUCGUAGAUAUUAGAAAGAAUACCAAUUGCGAAGGCAGCUUUCUGGAUCAAUACUGACACUGAGGAACGAAAGCAUGGGUAGCGAAGAGGAUUAGAUACCCUCGUAGUCCAUGCCGUAAACGAUGUGUGUUAGACGUUGGA
Molecule: ribosomal RNA, 675 nt
Filed under: uncultured bacterium
Lineage: Bacteria
Description: bacterial SSU rRNA
Rfam family: Bacterial small subunit ribosomal RNA
Source: RNAcentral